UGGUUUGGGCAUCGAUGAAGAACGCAGCGAAAUGCGAUAAGUAAUGCGAAUUGCAGAAUCCGUGAGUCAUCGAAUCUUUGAACGCACAUUGCGCCCUCUGGUAUUCCGGGGGGCAUGCCUGUUCGAGCGUCAUUAUCACCCCUCAAACCUCUGGUUUGGUGUUGGGCUCUUGCGUGUGGGAUGUCCUCCCCCGCAGGCCUCAAAUAUAAUGACGGCGUCCCCGUGAGACUCGACGCACUGAGCUUUCUAACGAAGCACGCGUCGGUAGCGCUCCGGGUGACAACCGGUCUCAACCCAUUUUUAUCAAGGUUGACCUCGGAUCAGGUAGGGAUACCCGCUGA
This 341-nucleotide unclassified non-coding RNA is filed under the name uncultured fungus. Its description in RNAcentral is "partial contains 5.8S ribosomal RNA and internal transcribed spacer 2". The stretch from base 1 to 132 matches the Rfam family "5.8S ribosomal RNA", at positions 22 to 154 of the family's 154-position model. The record is from RNAcentral. Lineage: Eukaryota; Fungi.